Molecule: long non-coding RNA, 3519 nt
Organism: Papio anubis (olive baboon)
Lineage: Eukaryota; Metazoa; Chordata; Mammalia; Primates; Cercopithecidae
Source: Ensembl
GGGACCCGAGAAGGGCACACUAGCCCGGGGCGCGGAGGCCAACGCCGAGCCUGCGCGGUGGGAGGCGCUGAGAGCUCACUGCGCACGCGCCGGUCGGCCGGCCGCACCCACGCGGCUCAGCUCGCAAAGUUGCAGACAGCCCGGCGAACUGCUCAAUGCGCUGCUUCUGCCCGCCGCAGAGAAAGGGAAAGAAAACUCCGCAGGGGCUCCGUUGGCUUCUCGACGAGUGACAAAGAUGCUUUCCCAGAUAGAAGACCGGAGCCCUGCUCCUUUGCGAUCCGCCGAGGGCUGCAGAGAGCAUCCUCAUCCAUUUGGUCACCCCUGUCCAGGAAGAGCCUGGCCAUCCCUUUCCAGACUGGAUCCUUCAGAGGUGAAUUUUCUUCGGUGGAUUCCGAUUUGCUCCGUCUGACCAGCCUAGACAAUCCAGCAUCGGGUGGUACCAGUGCCCCUGGGCACACUUGCUUCACGCCGGCGCCGGCUCCGCCUCGCCAGCAAGCGCAUUCCCAGGUGGUCAGGCUCAGGAUGGACCAUGAGCUUUCAAAAAGGAAAAAGGUGGAAAUCCUCAACUAUGCUGCCAUCUGAAUAAGUGUUUCUUUGUAGCAUGCACAGAGUCAAGGAAAAUUACAUCCCUGCAUUAUGUAAUGUACCAACAAUGCACUUACCCACUGUUUUAAUCUAGGUUAUUCUUGAAAGCAGAGCCUGAGACAAAGGUAGACACAUUCUAUUUAUGAGUCUAGCACCCAGGAGCAGGAAUGAGAGGCAGGGGAGUGAACAUGGGAAAAGGGAAAGUAAGUCCAAGCAAAACCAGAUACUGCUGUUAUCAAGUGGUCCACCCCUAUUAAUGGCUAUGUAAUGCAGAACUUUCUUAGGAUUCUUCUUAAACUUUAUCUCAGAACUGUCUGCCUUAGGGAGAAUGGAGAAAUAUUUCUCCAUCAGCAGUCACCUCCUGUUUGUUGAGGGCUGCUCCUUUGGGGCAUUAACUCACCGCCCCCACCACCCCAUCCCUCUGGGCUGCAAAGAGCUGAGAGCCCACAUGGUACCUCAGCAUCGCACAUUGCUACAUCAGAGAGGUCUUAAGACACGAAACUAGAGUCUUGGUGCAUGCUCGAAGUGAGACAGUGUCAGCACAGAGCAGUGUAAUAUCUUCCAUAACUGUUCAACAGAGCCAUGACUGGACUCAGAGGUUGAAAAGAUAUGGGACCGUACACAAGAAGCAUCUUGUAAGCCUACAUAACAUGGUGUUAGACUCAUCGAAAUCUGUUUUGUUCCUUCUUUAUAAUCAAAACUUCAGUGUCCAGAAUAAUGUUGGCAGAAGGGUUAAAUAGGAAAGUUAAAUGCAUUAGAAGGUGUAUAUUUAUAAGUUUUAACCUUGAGUCAUGUUCAAGGAGAAAGUGACAUUGGAACUCGGAAAAUUAAAAAAUGAUUCUACUUGAAAAAUUUGACCAUUGCAUAGAGAUAUUAGCUAUUGUCUAAUCUUUUGUAAUCUCAGAAACAAUCGUGAAUUGUUUGGUGAAAAAUGAAAAAAUAAAAUGAACCAUUUCUUAUGUCUCUGUGAGCUUUAUAGACCAAUGUCACUAACUUUUCCUAAGAUAAUUGUUUCCUACUGUCAAAUAGCUCUUACAAUCAAUGAAGGGAAAACUGAUAGAAACAUAGGAAGAAAAAUACUGGGAUAAUUUUCAUCAUAUAAAGUGUUAGCAUUAACAUUGGUUAGAAUAGAGGAGAAACUGCGUGACUUGACUGGACAUUCUUGUAUGUUGUAUGAAGCCCUAUCUUAACAGAAAUAGUGAUAUCAUCAUUAUCCUCUCUUAUUUGGUCUUGAAUUGCCACCAAUAGGAUAAAACCUUUGAAUUAUUUAACUCAAUAUAUGUUAAGUUUCUACUAUGUGCUAUGUAUUGGUACUAUAAAUAUGAAUAAGACAUAAAAUAUUACAUUCAAAAACAUCAGAAUACAUGUUCUUUUAAGGUGUACCCCAAAACAUUUACCACAUGUUCUGGGGUGCAUGUUAGGCUGUAUCACAAAUCAAGUCUUAAGAAAUUUCAAAAGAUUGAAAUCAUAUAGAGUAUGAAUUAAACCAGAAAUCAAGUACAUAAAGGUAACAAAAAAUUUCCUAAAUGCAUUCAUUUAAGGAACAUACAUCUCAUGACCCAGGAGUCACAAAAUAAAUCACAGCAAAAUUGCAAAAAUAUUUUGAAAUGAAUUUUAAUGAAAAUACAGCGUAUUAAAGCUCUAAGUACUUAUGUUAGAAAUUUUACAGAAAGGUUGGCUAUCAGUGUUUCCAGAAGCCGGGGGAAAAGUUUAGACAACUUGAUCGCUGAGGAACGGAAACAAAGUGAGACCUCUGAUCACCCUGCCUUUCCGAGGCGAGCACUCUGGAUUCCGUCGUAGGAGACCAGAGUCUUGCUGAGUUGAGGAGAGGAAGAUUGGAGUUGAGACUGAGAUAGUUUGAAUUUUUUAGGACAAAGUAUCAACAAGGAAGAAGGUAGACAAAAAAAUCCAGAAAUCUACGUAGUGGCUCCAUUGUGUACCUAGCGGAACACUACGCCUAACGAGUCUCAAAAUUAGCGUGUGAUUGGGAAAUAUCUAAUUUCCAUCCAGUCACAGUGGAGAGUCCUGACUGAAAACCAGGCAUUCACUAAAGAUCCCAGAAAGGUUACGUGUUACAUGAGUAGGGCUAAAGUAUCCUGACUAAAAACUGUACUACAUUUGCUCCCCACCCACACAAAAAGCUUAAAAACAAGCCUCAAUAGUAUAAAGCUGAACUGUAAAUAACUAAACUACCUGCCAGAACGAACUCCACAUUUAUUAGUUCCAGUCCUCCAAAAUAACACAUGGAAAGACAGGAUUCAAUUUACAAGACAUUUAUUUGGGGGGGGGGGAGAAAAUGGCUAAGGGUUUAAAGAGAGAGGAAGUCAGAGAGACAGAGUCCUCAGAAUACAUAAAAUUUCUGGCCUCCAUGGAGGUGUGAUGGUUAAUUUUAUGGGUGUCAACUUCACUGGGUCACAGGAUGCCUCAUAUCUGAUCGAACAUUAUUUCUGGUUGUGUUCAUGAAGCAUUUUCUGGAAGAAAUUCACAUUUGAAUUGAUGGACUGAAUAAAGCAGAUUGCAGUCCCCAGUGUGGAUGGGCUUGAUCCAGUCUUCUAAGGACCCAAAUAAAAUAGGUGGAGGAAGGUUGAAUUUUCUGCCUGACUGUGGCACUGGGACACCCAUCUUCUCCUGCCCUUGACCUGGGACUGACACCUCAAUGCUCCUGGUUCUCAGACCUUCGGACAGCAGAUUGGGGGCCUUCUCAGCCUCCAUUAUUGUGUGAGCCAAUUCCUUAUAAUAAAUAAGGAUUUAUAUUUAAUUCCUUAUAAUUAAAUAAGGAUAAAUCCAUAUAGAUUGAUUAUAAAUCCUUAUAGAUUGACUGAUAGAUCCAUAGGACUUAUUGAUUCUGUUUCUCUGGAGAACCCUGACUAAUACAGAAGGAGAGAGGGAAGAAAGGAUGGUUGAGCAGCAAAAAGCUUAGACUGUAGCACAGUU